AUUGUUUUUAUUGAAAAAUAAUACAGGCAAGCUGUGAAAUCAUUUGUUGUAUUAAAAGUUACAGAACAAGAACUAGUUUUUGUAUUCUGUAACUUAAGAAGCAAAAUAUUCCACAAAAUGCUAGUACUGAAUUUAGAACUGCACUUAGCCUUUUGUAAGGAACUGAGAGCAUUAAACUGCAUUGCUGACAUACAAGAAUGCCUGUAUAAUAAAGCACCUUUUGUUCUGAUAAUGAGUGGAUUUAGCUUAGGUGGAAAACAUCAGAUAUUUACCCAUCAGGCCAUGAUAAGACAUCACCAUUUAUUUGGGAUUGAGAUUCUCCAAAACUUAGGUAAUUCUUUUGAAAGGGAAAAAAAAUCUAUUUCUUUUCUGGAGACAGACAUUCUUAGUUCUUUUCUAAAAGCAAUGACAUGUAAGCCCAAGGCAAUGCUUAACCCAUGAAUUACAGCAAGGUCACAUUUUGGAAACGUUAGCUAUUUUGAAUCCCAGUGGGAUAGUCCUGGUUCUCUUACCAAAAGGCUUAUGUGUUGACUCAUUUCCUUUACCAGUAUGGCAAUUUCCUGCACACAUUUAAAGCUUUGGGCAAGAUUAGAAUAUGUUAACUGUUUUUUACUAAUCUCUUUUUCAUUAGGAAUCUUAAAACAUUUAACUCUUUCAUAGCCUACUUUGUCUACUAUCCAUAGAUAAUGUAUAUUUGGUUUGUAUGCUUUAGCUCAUUGUGUCCAUUUUGUGGCAAUACUAGUUUCCCACAUUCUGAAGAUACAGUGAGUUAUUGUGGGUUAUGUGCCUGCAUCUUUAACCACCUUGAUGCUUGUUGCAUUGGAGUCAGACCUAGGAUGUGGGUUGGUUUUAGUCUUACUAACCAGCUCGUGUAGUGUUCAGUUGUGAAUAGCAUGUUAGUGUUAGCUGUUUACAGAGUGCAUUUGCUUGACUAACUUCUGACUUUCUUACUAAUGCCUCAUGGUUGCCCACA
This 973-nucleotide long non-coding RNA is filed under the name Rattus norvegicus (Norway rat). Its description in RNAcentral is "long non-coding RNA NONRATT018241". The record is from RNAcentral. Lineage: Eukaryota; Metazoa; Chordata; Mammalia; Rodentia; Muridae.